CGUGUUGCCUGCAAGGGCGUAUGGUGGAUGCCUUGGCAGACAGGACCGAUGAAGGACGUUUGAGGCUGCGAUAUGCCUCGGGGAGCCGCCAACAGGGCUUUGAUCCGAGGAUUUCCGAAUGGGGGAACCCACCGGCCGUCAUGGGCCGGUACCGCCGUGUGCGGGGGGUACGCAGGGAAGUGAAACAUCUCAGUACCUGCAGGAAAGGAUAUUCCGUGAGUAGUGGCGAGCGAAAGCGGAUCAGGCCAAACCUUGCGCGUGUGAUACCCGUCGGGGGUUGCGCGCGGGGUGUAGAGGGAUCGCGUUUGCCGGCUCCGACGGGCCGGCCGUCAGUUGCAUAAAACCAUGUGCCAGGGGAACCGGGUUGAAUACCGGGCCGCAGAGGGUGAGGGCCCCGUACCCGAACGCGCAUGGUCUGGCGAUCGCGUCUCCCAAGUAGCACGGGCCCCGUGGAAUCCCGUGCGAAUCUGUCCCGACCGUGGGAUAAGCCUAAAUAUUCCUGUCUGACCGAUAGCGAACGAGUACCGUGAGGGAAAGGUGAAAAGUACCCCGGGAGGGGAGUGAAACAGUCUCUGAAACCAUGCGCCUACGAACCGUCGGGGCCCUCUUGUGGGGUGACGGCGUGCCUAUCGAAAAAUGAGUCUGCGAGUCAGUGGCAUGUGGCGAGCAUAACCCGUGUGGGGUAUGCGUAGCGAAGGCGAGUCUUAAAAGGCGUUUGAGUCGCGUGUCCUGGACCCGAAGCGGGAUGAUCUAGCCCUGAGCAGGUUGAAGCGCGGGUAAGACCGUGUGGAGGACCGAACCCACCUGGGUUGAAAACCGGGGGGAUGACUUGGGGCUAGGGGUGAAAGGCCAAUCAAAUUCCGUGAUAGCUGGUUCUCUCCGAAAUGCAUUUAGGUGCAGCGUCGGAUCGAUUACAUCCGGGGGGUAGAGCGACUGGAUGCUUGCGGGCCCAUAUCGGGUACCAACAGCAACCAAACUCCGAAUACCCGUGAUGCGUAUCCCGGCAGUGAGUCGGCGGGGGAUAAGCUCCGUCGUCGAAAGGGAAACAGCCCAGAUCGUCGUCUAAGGUCCCCAAGCGUGUGCUAAGUGGGAAAGGAUGUGGAGUCGCAUAGACAGCCAGGAGGUUGGCUCAGAAGCAGCCACCCUUGAAAGAGUGCGUAACAGCUCACUGGUCUAGUGGUUCCGCGCCGACAAUGUAGCGGGGCUCAAGCACACCACCGAAGACGCGGCAGUAGCUUUGCUACUGGGUAGGAGAGCGUCCCAUGCGGGGCGAAGCGGCGGCGCAAGCCCGCCGUGGACCGCAUGGGAGUGAGAAUGCAGACAUGAGUAGCGAAAGACGGGUGAAGAUCCCGUCCGCUGGACGACCAAGGGUUCCAGGGCCACGUUCAUCGUCCCUGGGUGAGUCGGGUCCUAAGGCGAGGCCGACAGGCGUAGUCGAAUGGACGAACGGGUCGAUAUUCCCGUACCGGCAUGCAACCGGCAAAACCGAAUCCGCGAGUACUUACCUCCGGGUCCGGGCUCACGUCUCCUUCGGGAGCCGGAUGCCCUGGCCUGUUGGGACCGUAACGGUAGUAGGUCAGCGCGGGAGUGACGCAGAAGGGUAGCCGGCCGCGGAGGUGGUCUUCCGUGGUCAAGCACGCAGCCCGUCCCACAGGCAAAUCCGUGGGGCGCGUGGGCGAGGUGCGAUGAUGGGCGCCGCAGGGCGCGAUAUCCGGUGAUCCCGGCUGCCGAGAAAAGCUUCGGCGUGAGGCGGCAUGCCGCCCGUACCCCAAACCGACACUGGUGGUCAGGUAGAGAAUACCAAAGCGAUCGAGCGAAUCCUGGUCAAGGAACUCGGCAAAUCACUCCCGUUCCUUCGGUUUAAGGGAGACCCCCGAUGGUGAAGCGGCUUGCCCGCGGAGCUUUUGGGGGUGGCACAGACCAGGGGGUAGCGACUGUUUACCAAAAACACAGGAGCGUGCGAAGGCGCAAGCCGCUGUAUACGCUCUGACGCCUGCCCGGUGCCGGAAGGUUAAGAGGAUCCGUCAGGCCUCGGCCGAAGCGGUGAAUUCAAGCCCCGGUAAACGGCGGUGGUAACUAUAACCAUCCUAAGGUAGCGAAAUUCCUUGUCGGGUAAGUUCCGACCUGCACGAAUGGCGUAACGACUUCCCCACUGUCUCGACCAGGAGCUCGGCGAAAUUGCAGUACGAGUAAAGAUGCUCGUUAAGCGCAGAAGGACGAAAAGACCCCGGGACCUUUACUAUACCUUGGUAUUGGCAUUCGGUGUGGAUUGUGUAGCAUAGGCGGAAGGCUUCGAAGCCACGGCGCCAGCCGCGGUGGAGCCGCAAGGUGAAAUACCGCUCUGUUCGCAUUGGAUGUCUAACCUCGACCAGUCAUCCUGGUCAGGGACAGUGCCUGGCGGGUAGUUUAACUGGGGCGGUUGCCUCCCAAAGAGUAACGGAGGCGCUCAAAGGUUCCCUCAGCCCGGUUGGCAAUCGGGUGGCGAGUGUAAGUGCACAAGGGAGCUUGACUGCGAGACUGACGGGUCGAGCAGGGACGAAAGUCGGAACUAGUGAUCCGGUGCCGGUGUACGGACGCGGCAUCGCUCAACGGAUAAAAGGUACCCCGGGGAUAACAGGCUGAUCAUUCCCAAGAGUCCAUAUCGACGGGAUGGUUUGGCACCUCGAUGUCGGCUCGUCGCAUCCUGGGGCUGGAGCAGGUCCCAAGGGUUCGGCUGUUCGCCGAUUAAAGCGGCACGCGAGCUGGGUUCAGAACGUCGUGAGACAGUUUGGUCUCUAUCCUCUGCGCUCGUCGGAAUGUUGAGGAGGCCUGCCCAUAGUACGAGAGGACCUGGGUGGACGAACCUCUGGUAUGCCGGUUGUCACGCCAGUGGCACGGCCGGUUGGCUACGUUCGGAAGGGAUAACCGCUGAAAGCAUCUAAGCGGGAAGCCUGCUCCAAGAUAAGCAUUCCAUAGGACUACGGGUCCUUGAAGUCCCCAUGCAGAACACGUGGUUGAUAGGCCGGACGUGGAAGCCCCGCGAGGGGUGGAGCCGACCGGUACUAACGGACGAAAGGCAACACAAU
RNAcentral lists this ribosomal RNA (3065 nucleotides) under Bifidobacterium breve. Its description in RNAcentral is "23S ribosomal RNA". It matches the Rfam family "Bacterial large subunit ribosomal RNA". The record is from RNAcentral. Lineage: Bacteria; Bacillati; Actinomycetota; Actinomycetes; Bifidobacteriales; Bifidobacteriaceae.